RNAcentral lists this ribosomal RNA (577 nucleotides) under Pestalotiopsis sp. Its description in RNAcentral is "partial large subunit ribosomal RNA". It matches the Rfam family "Eukaryotic large subunit ribosomal RNA", at positions 87 to 686 of the family's 3401-position model. The record is from RNAcentral. Lineage: Eukaryota; Fungi; Ascomycota; Sordariomycetes; Amphisphaeriales; Sporocadaceae.
CGGCGAGUGAAGCGGCAACAGCUCAAAUUUGAAAUCUGGCCCUCGGGUCCGAAUUGUAAUUUGUAGAGGAUGAUUUUGGUGCGGUAUCUUCCGAGUUCCUUGGAACAGGACGCCUUAGAGGGUGAGAGCCCCGUACGGUUGAAUGCCUAGCCUCUGUAAAUCUCCUUCGACGAGUCGAGUAGUUUGGGAAUGCUGCUCUAAAUGGGAGGUAAAUUUCUUCUAAAGCUAAAUAUUGGCCAGAGACCGAUAGCGCACAAGUAGAGUGAUCGAAAGAUGAAAAGCACUUUGAAAAGAGGGUUAAAUAGCACGUGAAAUUGUUGAAAGGGAAGGAUUUGUGACCAGACUUUUUCUGGGCGGAUCAUCCGGGGUUCUCUCCGGUGCACUUUGCCCAGUAAAGGCCAGCAUCGAUUUUCGGCGGCGGAUAAAAGCAGUGGGAAUGUGGCUCCCCUCGGGGAGUGUUAUAGCCCAUUGUAUAAUACGCUGCUGGGGAUCGAGGUACGCGCUUCUGCAAGGAUGCUGGCGUAAUGGUUAUCAAUCACCCGUCUUGAAACACGGACCAAGGAGUCGAACAUUUAUG